UACGGGGGGGGCAAGCGUUGUUCGGAAUUACUGGGCGUAAAGGGCUCGUAGGCGGCCAACUAAGUCCGAUGUGAAAGCCCCGGGCUCAACCUGGGAAUGGCAUUGGAAACUGGCGGACUCGAGUGUGGCAGAGGGGGGUGGAAUUCCGCGUGUAGCAGUGAAAUGCGUAGAGAUGCGGAGGAACACCGAUGGCGAAGGCAGCCCCCUGGGCUAACACUGACGCUCAGGCACGAAAGCGUGGGGAGCAAACAGG
Molecule: ribosomal RNA, 253 nt
Filed under: uncultured bacterium
Lineage: Bacteria
Description: partial 16S ribosomal RNA
Rfam family: Bacterial small subunit ribosomal RNA
Source: RNAcentral